RNAcentral lists this unclassified non-coding RNA (253 nucleotides) under uncultured Gammaproteobacteria bacterium. Its description in RNAcentral is "contains 16S-23S intergenic spacer region". It matches the Rfam family "Bacterial small subunit ribosomal RNA", at positions 524 to 776 of the family's 1533-position model. The record is from RNAcentral. Lineage: Bacteria; Pseudomonadati; Pseudomonadota; Gammaproteobacteria.
UACGGAGGGUGCAAGCGUUAAUCGGAAUUACUGGGCGUAAAGCGUACGCAGGCGGUUGGGCAAGUCGGAUGUGAAAGCCCCGGGCUUAACCUGGGAACUGCAUUCGAUACUAUCCAGCUAGAGUAUGGGAGAGGGAAGUGGAAUUUCCGGUGUAGCGGUGAAAUGCGUAGAUAUCGGAAGGAACACCAGUGGCGAAGGCGACUUCCUGGCCCAAUACUGACGCUCAGGUACGAAAGCGUGGGGAGCAAACAGG